RNAcentral lists this ribosomal RNA (494 nucleotides) under uncultured bacterium. RNAcentral's name for it is "partial 16S ribosomal RNA". It matches the Rfam family "Bacterial small subunit ribosomal RNA", at positions 28 to 507 of the family's 1533-position model. The record is from RNAcentral.
GACGAACGCUGGCGGCGUGCUUAACACAUGCCAGUCGAACGGUGAAGCGCCUUCCUUUUUGGUGGGUGUGGAUGAGUGGCGAACGGGUGAGUAACACGUGAGUAACCUGCCCCCUUCUUCUGGAUAACCGCAUGAAAGUGUGGCUAAUACGGGAUAUUCUGGGUCUGUCGCAUGAUGGGUCUGGGAAAGAUAUUGUUUCGGUGGGGGAUGGGCUCGCGGCCUAUCAGCUUGUUGGUGGGGUGAUGGCCUACCAAGGCGGUGACGGGUAGCCGGCCUGAGAGGGUGGACGGUCACACUGGGACUGAGACACGGCCCAGACUCCUACGGGAGGCAGCAGUGGGGAAUAUUGCACAAUGGGCGGAAGCCUGAUGCAGCGACGCCGCGUGAGGGAUGGAGGCCUGCGGGUUGUGAACCUCUUUCGCCAGUGAAGCAGGCCUGCCUCGUUUGUGGGUGGGUUGACGGUAGCUGGAUAAGAAGCGCCGGCUAACUACGUG